RNA transcript from Mus musculus (house mouse), 7355 nucleotides. It is a transcript of the gene named lemur tyrosine kinase 3, with no coding region annotated. The record is from RefSeq and is marked validated. NCBI's taxonomy places the organism in Eukaryota, Metazoa, Chordata, Mammalia, Rodentia, Muridae. The transcript has 16 exons.
CCGCCGAUUCCUCCACCUCCCUUCCAUCCUGGACAAGAUGCCUGCACCCGGCGCACUCAUCCUCCUGGCGGCCGUCUCCGCCUCCGGCUGCCUGGCGUCCCCAGCGCACCCGGAUGGAUUCGCUCUGAGCCGGGCCCCUUUGGCUCCGCCCUACGCUGUGGUCCUCAUUUCCUGUUCGGGUCUGCUGGCCUUCAUCUUUCUCCUCCUUACCUGUCUGUGUUGCAAACGGGGUGAUGUUCGUUUCAAGGAGUUUGAGAACCCGGAAGGGGAGGACUGCUCUGGGGAGUACACCCCCCCUGCGGAGGAGACCUCCUCCUCACAGUCGCUGCCUGAUGUCUAUAUUCUGCCGCUGGCAGAGGUCUCACUGCCAAUGCCUGCCCCGCAGCCUCCACACUCAGACAUCAGCACCCCCCUGGGCCUGAGCCGCCAGCACCUCAGCUACCUGCAGGAGAUUGGCAGCGGCUGGUUUGGGAAGGUGAUCCUCGGGGAGGUUUUCUCAGACUACUCGCCAGCCCAGGUGGUGGUGAAGGAACUCCGGGCUAGUGCCGGGCCCCUGGAACAGCGCAAGUUCAUCUCCGAGGCUCAGCCCUACAGGAGCCUGCAGCAUCCCAACGUCCUCCAGUGCCUGGGCGUCUGUGUGGAGACCUUGCCCUUCCUGUUGAUCAUGGAGUUCUGCCAGCUGGGGGACCUGAAGCGAUACCUUCGGGCCCAGCGGCCACCUGAAGGCAUGUCCCCUGAACUUCCCCCUCGAGACCUUCGGACACUGCAGAGGAUGGGUCUAGAGAUUGCCCGAGGACUGGCACACCUGCACUCUCACAACUAUGUGCACAGCGAUCUGGCGCUGCGCAACUGCCUGCUAACUUCAGACCUGACUGUGCGUAUUGGAGACUAUGGGCUGGCGCACAGCAACUACAAGGAAGACUACUACCUGACACCCGAGCGCCUAUGGGUGCCGCUGCGCUGGGCAGCGCCCGAGCUGCUGGGCGAGCUGCACGGCAGCUUCGUGCUGGUAGAUCAAAGCCGGGAGAGUAAUGUCUGGUCCCUGGGGGUGACACUCUGGGAGCUAUUCGAGUUCGGGGCACAGCCCUAUCGUCACCUAUCGGAUGAGGAGGUCCUGGCCUUUGUUGUCCGCCAGCAGCACGUGAAGCUGGCCCGGCCCAGGCUCAAGCUGCCCUACGCUGACUAUUGGUAUGACAUUUUGCAGUCUUGCUGGCGGCCGCCAGCCCAGCGCCCCUCAGCUUCUGAUCUCCAGCUGCAGCUCACUUACCUGCUGUCUGAGCGGCCCCCCAGGCCCCCUCCUCCACCACCCCCUCCCCGAGAUGGGCCCUUCCCCUGGCCCUGGCCCCCCUCGCAUAGUGCGCCGCGCCCAGGGACCCUGUCCUCCCAGUUCCCCCUUCUGGAUGGCUUCCCCGGGGCUGACCCUGAUGAUGUACUCACAGUCACCGAGAGCAGCCGUGGCCUCAACCUUGAGUGCCUGUGGGAGAAGGCCCGCCGUGGGGCAGGCCGGGGUGGGGGUGCACCUCCCUGGCAACCCGCUUCUGCGCCUCCUGCGCCCCAUACCAAUCCAUCCAAUCCCUUCUAUGAGGCGCUGUCCACCCCUAGCGUGCUUCCGGUCAUCAGCGCACGCAGUCCCUCGGUGAGCAGCGAGUACUAUAUCCGCCUGGAGGAGCACGGUUCUCCACCAGAGCCCCUCUUCCCCAACGACUGGGACCCGCUGGACCCAGGAGUACCCGGUCCCCAGGCCCCCCAGACUCCCUCCGAGGUCCCUCAGCUGGUGUCCGAGACCUGGGCUUCCCCCCUCUUCCCCGCGCCCCGACCCUUCCCGGCCCAGUCCUCGGGAUCAGGUGGUUUCCUGCUGAGCGGCUGGGACCCCGAGGGCCGGGGCGCAGGAGAGACCCUGGCAGGAGAUCCUGCCGAGGUGCUUGGGGAACAGGGUACCGCACCCUGGGCCGAAGAGGAGGAGGAAGAGAGCUCCCCAGGCGAGGACAGCAGCAGCCUUGGAGGGGGACCCAGCCGCAGGGGACCCCUCCCCUGUCCCUUGUGCAGCCGCGAGGGUCCCUGCUCCUGUCUGCCAUUGGAGCGGGGGGACGCUGUGGCCGGCUGGGGGGACCACCCUGCCCUUGGUUGUCCCCACCCCCCAGAGGACGACUCUUCCUUGCGUGCAGAGCGGGGCUCCUUGGCCGACCUGCCUCUGGUCCCCCCUACCUCAGCCCCUCUCGAGUUUCUGGACCCCCUUAUGGGGGCCGCAGCGCCCCAGUACCCCGGGCGGGGGCCACCUCCCGCUCCCCCCCCUCCACCGCCCCCUCCCCGGGCCUCCGCGGAACCGGCCGCGUCCCCCGACCCCCCGUCGGCCCUGGCCAGUCCAGGCUCCGGCCUAUCGUCUCCGGGCCCCAAGCCGGGGGACAGCGGCUACGAGACCGAGACCCCUUUUUCCCCCGAGGGAGCCUUCCCAGGUGGGGGGGCGGCCGAGGAGGAAGGGGUCCCUCGGCCACGGGCUCCCCCCGAGCCACCCGACCCAGGAGCGCCCCGGCCACCCCCAGACCCGGGUCCCCUCCCACUCCCAGGGUCCCAGGAGAAGCCAACCUUUGUAGUUCAGGUGAGCACCGAGCAGCUGCUGAUGUCCCUACGGGAGGAUGUGACAAAGAACCUCCUAGGGGACAAGGGGUCGACACCCGGGGAGACAGGACCCAGGAAGGCGGGGAGAAGCCCCGCGAACAGAGAGAAGGGCCCAGGCCCGAACAGGGACCUGACAUCCCUGGUCAGCAGGAAGAAAGUCCCCAGCAGGAGCCUUCCAGUGAACGGGGUGACAGUGUUGGAGAACGGGAAGCCAGGAGUCCCGGACAUGAAGGAGAAGGUGGCGGAGAAUGGCCUGGAAUCUCCGGAGAAAGAAGAGAGAGCCCUGGUGAAUGGGGAGCCGAUGUCCCCAGAGGCCGGGGAGAAGGUGCUGGCGAAUGGGGUUCUGAUGUCCCCAAAGAGCGAGGAGAAGGUGGCAGAGAAUGGGGUCCUGAGGCUGCCCAGGAACACGGAGAGGCCACCAGAGAUUGGACCUCGGAGAGUCCCAGGGCCCUGGGAGAAGACGCCCGAGACUGGGGGUCUAGCUCCCGAGACCCUGCUGGAUCGAGCCCCUGCGCCCUGCGAGGCAGCCUUGCCCCAGAACGGCUUGGAGAUGGCCCCUGGCCAGCUUGGCCCAGCCCCCAAGAGCGGGAACCCAGACCCCGGGACCGAGUGGAGAGUCCACGAGAGUGGGGGGGCACCGAGAGCCCCCGGGGCUGGGAAGCUGGACCUCGGGAGUGGGGGCCGAGCCCUGGGGGGCGUGGGGACGGCCCCCGCCGGCGGCCCCGCAAGCGCCGUGGACGCAAAGGCCGGAUGGGUAGACAACUCGAGACCACUGCCACCUCCGCCACAGCCACUGGGGGCCCAACAGAGGAGGCCGGAGCCAGUGCCCCUGAAAGCCAGGCCGGAGGUGGCCCAAGAGGAAGAGCCAGGGGUCCCAGACAACAGGCUCGGCGGAGACAUGGCCCCCAGCGUAGACGAGGACCCCCUCAAGCCGGAGAGGAAGGGCCCCGAGAUGCCACGCUUGUUCCUGGACUUGGGACCACCUCAGGGGAACAGCGAGCAGAUCAAAGCCAAACUCUCCCGGCUCUCGCUGGCGCUCCCACCGCUCACGCUCACGCCGUUCCCGGGCCCGGGCCCGCGGCGGCCACCUUGGGAGGGCGCGGACGCAGGGGCAGCUGGCGGGGAGGCCGGCGGGGCGGGGGCGCCGGGGCCAGCGGAGGAGGACGGGGAGGACGAGGACGAGGACGAGGAGGACGAGGAGGCAGCGGGCUCUCGGGAUCCCGGGAGGACGCGGGAAGCCCCAGUGCCCGUCGUGGUGAGCAGCGCCGACGGGGACACGGUCCGCCCGCUGCGGGGGCUGCUCAAGUCUCCACGCGCGGCCGACGAGCCAGAGGACAGCGAGCUGGAGAGGAAGCGCAAGAUGGUCUCCUUCCACGGGGACGUGACCGUCUACCUCUUCGACCAGGAGACUCCAACCAACGAGUUGAGCGUCCAGGGCACCCCCGAGGGGGACACGGAGCCAUCAACUCCCCCAGCGCCCCCGACGCCUCCCCACCCCACCACCCCAGGAGAUGGGUUUCCCAACAGCGACAGCGGCUUUGGCGGCAGUUUCGAGUGGGCGGAGGAUUUCCCCCUCCUCCCCCCGCCAGGCCCCCCCCUGUGCUUCUCCCGCUUCUCCGUCUCACCUGCACUGGAGACCCCGGGGCCUCCCGCCCGGGCUCCCGACGCCCGGCCCGCAGGCCCCGUGGAGAACUGACUCCCCAAAGACCCAGCCCCUUUGCAUCCCAAGAAGAGGGCUUGCGAGCAGAAUCUUGUGUGGACGAUGGAGCCAUUGCCCCUGACACUGACACAGCCUCUGGGGAGGUGCCUGAGGCUGGGCCCUCCCUCUCCUCCACCAUGUGCCAAACAGGAGGCCCAGGCCCUCCACCCAGCCCCCCAGAUGAGUCCCCUGAUCCCCCUGACCCCCCCGACCCCCUUGGAGCCACAUGAGGCAGGAAGCCCCAUCGCUGGACAGCCACACGUCUUGGAACUGAACUGAACCGAACUCUUUUGGGCCCAGAGCCCCCUGGCACAGCAGAGGUCUCUCCUGGCCCCAUGAGGGCCACUGGCUUCAGGAACCUGGCCCCCCCCCCCCAUCUUGCGUCUCCCCUUCCCCCAAGCCUGGCCCCUGGAGGGGGCCUCUGAUUCAAACCUUCGCGUGACAUUUUCACAUUAUUUAAAAAAAAAAGACAAAAACAACUUUUGGAGGAAAAUGGGGCCUGUGUGUAUUUGGGGAGGUGGGAGGGAGGUGCCAGGAGUAGACACUGCAUGAAAGUCCCUGUCCUUUCCUUAUGGCCCUGAGGCAAGGCGCCCACGCAACAGUGGAGCUUGCUGGCCUCCCUUCCAGCGCAUUGGUGGCAGCCCUGACUUACCCUUCUCUGUUCCAUGAGGAGUCAGUGAUGAUGGCUUGGGACCAGGCAGUUUUGGUAAUCAUGUUCCUGCAGGGUCUGAAAGCUAUCACAGGGCCAGACCAGGUGGUGGGAAGAGACUCAGAACUGAUCUGCUGAAACUCGGCGGAGUCACCUGCCAGCCACUGCCUGGCCUGCCUGCCCGCACUGGCCGGCUCCAUCCACUCAUUUCUCUGUUACUGCCCAGCUUCUGGGCCGGCACACAAAUACUGUCUAUAUGAUCAUGCAUGCACACCCUCACCCCCAGCCCUGGCCCUUGCCAGUUGUUCUUCAUCUGCCCGACUGCUUGUCUUUGUCCAGUCUUCCUCGCAGUGACCUAGGACUGCUGCUCUGGUUUCUUCCUGUGUCUGUGUUCUCCCAUGCAUCUCCCCGUGCUUCUCUCUGCCUUAGUUAUAUUUGGGUCUUGUCCCUGUCCCCUCCCUCCCUCCCGUGGCUGCCUGGUCCUUAGCUUCUCAGUGGCUAGGCUGUUGGUGUCUCUGGACUUGGGUCCCUCAUCCUCUACACUUGGGGAUCAGAAUUUACAUGAAGGGAGUGAAUUUACAUUGUGGAAGAGAGCCAAAGCAAGGGGUGGGUUUAAGCAGGAUGGUAUAUAGGGGUGACAGGACACAGGGUGGAAGGUGUCACAGGAAACCCCUACAGUAGGGUUUUCCUUCCCCAUCAUAGGAUUGGAUUGCUGCCUGGCAAGCGGCGACAUGAUUGAGAGGCAGGUCUGCCCAGGUUGGGGAGGGAAUCAUGGUAGUAGAGUGGGCUGGAUCUUGGCAUCCUAGUUCAAAGAAUGAGAGUUAGAGACCUAAUGCCAAGUCAAGAGAGGUGGGCUAGGACCUGUGCUGUCUACCUGUCUCACUCUGUGUAUCUGUGUGUUUGAGACAAGAUCUGUCUGUGGCCCUGGCUGUCCUGUAACCACUGUGUAGACCAGGCUGGCCUCUAAUUCACAGAGACUGAUUAGCCUGCCUUUGCCUCCUGAAUGCUGGGAUUAAAGGCAUCACCACACCUAGCAAGGGCCAGGAUUUUUAGGUCUGAGGAGAGAAGGCUGUGGCCUGAACUGGUGGAUUAUGAGGGAGGGACAGGACAUUCAUGCCUCAGUCUGAGUGAAGAGGGUGAGAGCCAGGCCAAUCCAAAGUCUGAGAUGCUAAUGUCCUACCCAGUUGCAGGGAGCAAAGUUAAAGGUCUAAUCCCCAGGGAGGAGGGCUGGGGCCAGAACUGCUGCAUCUGAGGGAGGAACCUGGGAUCAGGACCCCUGGUCUGAAGGAGGGUAUACUAUCGUACCAGCCCUCACCCCACAAACUCAUAUUCAGUUAUCUUCAACCACAGAAACUUACUGCUUCACAAUUGUGGAGGCUACAAGACCAAGACCACCGACAUCAGUAUUUGGAAAAAUCUCUUCCGUGUUUUGCAAGCCUGGCUUCAGCACAUGGAUUGAAAUGAGUCCCCCUCCCCUGACACUUGGCUUGAAGGUCAGCUUAAAGCAAUUUGCAGUGACACAAGCACCUGCAGCCUAGUGUGGCCAACGUUCCCUUGAGAUCCGCAAUCAAGUGUGCUGAUCAUCACAGCCCUGGGCCCCCAGUGGUGGCUCCUCCACUCCCUCCUCCUUUAGUCACUGGGUCCCCCAGGACUGCAGACCUCCCCCUCCCUUCCCACCUUCGCCGCUACUCACUCUCAGAUCACCACAACCACUUCACUUAGACACACUGCCUCACCUUGGCUUCUCAUAGGCAGGCCUGCGUAACCUGUUCUUGCCUCCCUUAGCCACACCAGUCACCAUCUUACCUGGGCUGAUGGUAGUCACCAGUUGUCAGGCAAUGAUCCUGGGGUGAGAAGCCCUACUACUAAGGUUUUCCUUUGCCCUCUUGUCUUUGUCACCAUCCAGCUCAAACCCACCCCUUAAGCUUGUCAAUCAGUGCAAGCCCUUGUGCCAAGAAAACUUGAGUCCUAGGAUGUGAAAGACAAGGAACCAAGUUCAGGGACACCUACAAAUGGGGAAGUAGAAUCCAGAUCCCAAGACAGUACCCCCUGCUGCCCGCCACACCGAGGUCGACAGGGCAGGUGAAAGGGUGAAGAACCUCUGAUGCUCGCUGCCCAGUGCGUUCCUAGCCCUUUGGGUGACACUCAUGUUGUUUUAUUUGGGAAUCUCCAUUUCACAGCAGCCCCUGGGGGCAGGGGAAUAGUAAUUCAUGACCUUUUCCUAGGAGACAAGACGGCCACUGUGAAGACUGCCACUGUCUAUUGACACGUAGCCUGAGCCAAAGCCCACCUAAAAUAGAGCCUGGAUGCUCCCCCUUACCCAGAUCAGUGCUGUUGGGGUACACACCCACAGGGGUUUGCAAAUCCAAUACACACGUUCUGGAAUCUUAA